CUGCCGCUGCCGCCGGCGCCGUCCCCGCGUCCCCUUGCCGUGGUGCGCCCUCUCCCCAUCUCCACAGGCCCUAACCCUCUCUCAAUCCCCUCACCUUCUCUCCUGUGUGGAUUCGUCCCUCACCGGAUCGAAUCCUCCGAGCCGGCGGUCUGCAGGGCCGGGCGGGAGCGGCGCGUCCCCGUCGGCGUGUCGGUGGUGACGGCCCCGCGGAUCGAGGCUGACCCUCAACGGCGCUGGCGCUGCGUCGAUCUGGCGCGCGCUUCUGCUCGAGGGGCAGCGUGGUUCAGCGACGACGAGAUGCUCGUCCAUCUCCUUCUCAUCGACCAAAUCGUCCAGGAUUCCUCAUCCACCGCCGCGCCCAAGUUUCAGUGCGCCAUCUACUCGGCUCCUACCCCAAUGUUGCUGAGUUCAGGUCACAACAUUGUGAUCUCCUUUUUCUUCGAGAAGAAUCCAUCCAAUGCUCUGAUCUAGAAAAGGCAACAAAAGUAGUUUCAUUCGUCCAUGGAUACUUGGUCCGGCCUCUCGAGAAAGGGCUAUACUAUAUAUGCUGCAAUAUACACUUGCCGCCCUGUACGAAUUCAAGCAAUCAGCACUCUGAUUAUUCCGUCUGUACACAAUUGCCUUUGCUUUCUCAACCAUGGGUACAAUUUCUCUCAUCUUUUCUGGAGAUCCCACACUAUUCCUUCGGAGCAGGAAGUGCACUUUUGAAAGGUGUUAGCAUGCUUCAUAAUUGCCUAUGCACCUGGUACCUAUAUGAUGUUAGUAUCAGUUGCUCCUGUGACUGCCAUGGGGGUCUCUCUCAUCAGUUUACUCAUAGUGUUCAAUCCAAUUUGGGAAUUUAAAAUCAAGGGUAUUGUUCUGUUAGUGGCAUUAUGCAAGUGAAAGGGGAUAUGGUAUGGGGUAGUCAUCAUGGCAAACCCAAUUGCAGCCUUAUUGUCUGUGACAUUCGUGUCCCUUAUUCUACUUCUACUACUGGACUUGUCGUUGGUCUCGAUGAGUCAUCUGGUGGCAAAGUGGAACCACGUACCAGCACAACCACCGACACCAUUCAUAGAAACAACUAGAGUGACAUUGUGGGUGCGUGGAGGUGGUUUCAUCCUCAUCGACGGUGGAGACAAGAUCAAGGACUAGACCAACGCGGUCUUUGCACACGAACCAAUGUGGGCCAGUUGCAUCGGUAAAAUAGCAUCACCGGCUUAGGAAGUAAGUUCCUCUGUUUAGGUGUAUUGAUGUUUCUGAACUAGCAGGCACAAUUCAUCUCAUGACCACUGGGCUGUCGUCUUUACUUUUUCUGAAAUUUGUGACCAAGUGGUUAAAGCCUGAAACCAAAGCUUGGUCUUUCUCCAAAUUUACCAUGGUGUAAUUUUAUGCCACAAUCAAGCAUUGGAUAGAAAAUAAACAUGUUAUCAAGAUAAUAUAUCAGUUUUAGAAAUACAUAUUGAUCGACUAUACAAGCGUUUCUUUUUACUGAAUUUCUUUUUGCUAUUUUUCUAUCUAUAUCACUCAUUUUGUUGACAUGUUUAUUCAAAUGUGCCUAAUGUUUCUUUGCUUUUCCUGGUUUCUCAAAACUAACAAAUGAUGUUCUCUGAUAAAUUAGGAGGCUGAAGGUGGUAGCUUGCUGAACUCUUAUUUUGAAAAAAAAUCUGUAGAUGUUCACAUAAACCUGAAGUGUGCUCUGUUUUUCUCAUAUAAAUGAUAAACAACCACGACACCGGCACCAGCAACCAUGUGCUUCUUCUCCAUGGAAAUGGACAUGGGGCUCCAAACCACAGAAUGAGAAUGCAAGACACAAGCAAGGGAACACCAUCGCUUCACUCCUCCGGGUCGCCGCUGCUCCAACCCUACUGGACGCCAUGAAAGGUUGACCGCAGUGCGCAGUGGCGGCGCUCACGUCUGCAUCAUCCGCAUCCGUUGUGUGUGCUCCCGUCCAUGUUGCUGAGGGACGCCUGCCCCUGUUGCAAGGACUGCCACUGUGGUUAUGGAAGACGCUACAGAUAAAUCAGGUCAUUUCAUCCGGACAUUAUGACAGAAGUUUCUAUACCCUGCUUGUUGUCGUAACAAUUGCACUAGGUCAGGGUUUUAUGACAUCUGACUUCACGGUUGCUUCAGGCUCGAUGUCGACUUUGCUACAUUAUCUCGAUUUUUGUUGCAUGCCACUUUGAACUUCUACCUAGGCAAUGCGUGGCAAGCCGCGCUUUACAUUGGUUCAACCAGCCCUCUCAUCAAGUAUUAUGUUUGUGGGAUGAAUAAGACACUGGUCACUCCUGGACUAAGGAUGCACUUCUCCUGCCACUUAACAAAAAAUAAUUAGAAGAACCAUCUCAAUGAACCAGUCGAGGACAUGAUGGUCAGUCUCAGCGCUGGAUAUGUUACGAGACAGGUUUGGCGCAUAAGAGGAACACAAAAAAAGCAAUUUGUCAGACUUUGUCAAGGCGGGAGGGAUCAGAGAGUAUCAAAUGUGUUUCUUCGCCUUCAAAAUUGAAAGGGGGAAACCAUCGCUCACUCUCCAUAAUAAGCUUUAAAAAGCUAAGGUAGGAAAUCACAAGUCUAUACAGAAAUCAUUCUAUGCCAUGUAUUUCCCGGACUAUUUGCAUCGGGUUCAUGUGAAGUACCGCAUAUGAGGUUGAUCGACAAGGCAAUUGAAUGGAGCUACUUUUCAGUAUGA
Long non-coding RNA from Aegilops tauschii subsp. strangulata, 2665 nucleotides. RefSeq lists it as uncharacterized. The record is from RefSeq and is a predicted model, not a curated record. Lineage: Eukaryota; Viridiplantae; Streptophyta; Magnoliopsida; Poales; Poaceae.